AAACGUGCUCCGGGGUCGGUGUAAUUCCGAACCGGCGGUUAUAGUCCGCGACCCGCACGUCCGGCUGGGAUCCCUCAGCAGGACGGACGGUUGAACCGGUGAAAUUCCGGUACCGACAGUUAAAGUCUGGAUGGGAGAAGCACGUAC
Molecule: non-coding RNA, 147 nt
Filed under: Arthrobacter sp.
Lineage: Bacteria; Bacillati; Actinomycetota; Actinomycetes; Micrococcales; Micrococcaceae
Also listed under: 1 other name
Description: FMN sequence
Rfam family: FMN riboswitch aptamer (RFN element)
About the family: The RFN element is a highly conserved domain that is found frequently in the 5'-untranslated regions of prokaryotic mRNAs that encode for flavin mononucleotide (FMN) biosynthesis and transport proteins. This element is a metabolite-dependent riboswitch that directly binds FMN in the absence of proteins.
Source: RNAcentral